GGAAAGCCUCUCUCCCAAGACUAA
RNAcentral lists this non-coding RNA (24 nucleotides) under Arabidopsis thaliana (thale cress). Lineage: Eukaryota; Viridiplantae; Streptophyta; Magnoliopsida; Brassicales; Brassicaceae. The record is from RNAcentral.